This 500-nucleotide ribosomal RNA is filed under the name uncultured bacterium. Its description in RNAcentral is "partial 16S ribosomal RNA". It matches the Rfam family "Bacterial small subunit ribosomal RNA", at positions 30 to 523 of the family's 1533-position model. The record is from RNAcentral.
AUUGAACGCUGGCGGCAGGCCUAACACAUGCAAGUCGAGCGGAUGACGGGAGCUUGCUCCUUGAUUCAGCGGCGGACGGGUGAGUAAUGCCUAGGAAUCUGCCUGGUAGUGGGGGACAACGUUUCGACAGGAACGCUAAUACCGCAUACGUCCUACGGGAGAAAGCAGGGGACCUUCGGGCCUUGCGCUAUCAGAUGAGCCUAGGCCGGAUUAGCUAGUUGGUGGGGUAAUGGCUCACCAAGGCGACGAUCCGUAACUGGUCUGAGAGGAUGAUCAGUCACACUGGAACUGAGACACGGUCCAGACUCCUACGGGAGGCAGCAGUGGGGAAUAUUGGACAAUGGGCGAAAGCCUGAUCCAGCCAUGCCGCGUGUGUGAAGAAGGUCUUCGGAUUGUAAAGCACUUUAAGUUGGGAGGAAGGGCAGUAAGUUAAUACCUUGCUGUUUUGACGUUACCGACAGAAUAAGCACCGGCUAACUCUGUGCCAGCCGCCGCGGUAA